UAGGGAAUCUUCCACAAUGGACGAAAGUCUGAUGGAGCAACGCCGCGUGAGUGAAGAAGGUUUUCGGAUCGUAAAGCUCUGUUGUUGGUGAAGAAGGAUAGAGGCAGUAACUGGUCUUUAUUUGACGGUAAUCAACCAGAAAGUCACGGCUAACUACGUGCCAGCAGCCGCGGUAAUACGUAGGUGGCAAGCGUUGUCCGGAUUUAUUGGGCGUAAAGCGAGCGCAGGCGGAAUGAUAAGUCUGAUGUGAAAGCCCACGGCUCAACCGUGGAACUGCAUCGGAAACUGUCAUUCUUGAGUGCAGAAGAGGAGAGUGGAACUCCAUGUGUAGCGGUGGAAUGCGUAGAUAUAUGGAAGAACACCAGUGGCGAAGGCGGCUCUCUGGUCUGCAACUGACGCUGAGGCUCGAAAGCACGGGUAGCGAACAGGAUUAGAUACCCUGGUAGUCCAUGCCGUAAACGAUGAGCGCUAGGUGUUGGGGA
This 482-nucleotide ribosomal RNA is filed under the name uncultured bacterium. RNAcentral describes it as "partial 16S ribosomal RNA". It matches the Rfam family "Bacterial small subunit ribosomal RNA", at positions 355 to 829 of the family's 1533-position model. The record is from RNAcentral.